UGUAAAUGUAAAACCUAAAUUAUUAAUAGUUAAGUUCUUAAAAAUUAAGAAAGAUGGCGGUGUUUUAGUCUGUUCAGAGGAAUCUGCCCUGUAAUUGAUAUUCCACGAUUCAAAUUACUUAUUUUUUUAGUUUAUAUAUCGCUGUAGGUUGAAUAUUUCUAUUGAAUUACAAUAUUCAUGAUUUUAAUAAAAAGGAUAUCAAGUCAAGAUGUAGCUUAUAAAUAAGAAGAGGUGGAUUACAUUGAUAAUAUUUAUGGUUAGUAAUUUGAAAAGAUUAUUAUAAAAUGGAUUUGAAGGUAAUUUUUUAAAAAGAUUUUAAAGAUGAUUUUAGCUCUAGAAUA
Molecule: ribosomal RNA, 341 nt
Filed under: Dryocoetes affaber
Lineage: Eukaryota; Metazoa; Arthropoda; Insecta; Coleoptera; Curculionidae
Description: partial 12S ribosomal RNA
Source: RNAcentral